This is a long non-coding RNA of Ipomoea nil (Japanese morning glory), 221 nucleotides long. RefSeq lists it as uncharacterized. The record is from RefSeq and is a predicted model, not a curated record. Lineage: Eukaryota; Viridiplantae; Streptophyta; Magnoliopsida; Solanales; Convolvulaceae. The transcript has 4 exons.
AGUAUUUUGUGUAGAUGAUGUUUUCUUAAGAUGAUGUUUAGCCAUUUUGUGUGGAGCAAUAUUGCAGUAGUUUUUGUGAAGAUGAUGUAUGUUUGUUCUGAUUUAACUAGAAAAAAAAUUGUAGGUUACAGCCUACACAGGAGUUUUACGCUCUAGAGAGUUUAUGUAUCAUGGCCCUAAUUAUAUUUAGUACAUUUAUCAUUUUUCUUUUUGUAUUGAAA